Molecule: long non-coding RNA, 1188 nt
Filed under: Oreochromis niloticus (Nile tilapia)
Lineage: Eukaryota; Metazoa; Chordata; Actinopteri; Cichliformes; Cichlidae
Description: lncRNA (ENSONIG00000037592.1)
Source: RNAcentral
AUGUGUAUUAAUCCACCACCAUAUGCGCCGCCACCUCCCACAUCUGCAGCCACAGCUGCAGCGUCUCCCACAUCUGCAGCCACAGCCGCAGCAUCUCCCACAUCUGCAGCCACAGCUGCAGCACCACCCAUUAAACACUCACCCAUAUCAGGAAGAACUAGGUCACAUACACAACAUCCUUAUGUGAAAGCACAAAUAAUGCUAAACAAACUUUCACUCAAAGAUAGCCCACAAGAAGAAAUAGGAGACACAGUCGAUCCACCAGCCACUGGUAUCUACCCAUUGGUAGCAGUGGCUAACCCUAGAUUUGGCCUAAUAAUAGGGCCAGAAGGACAGGAGGAGCAAGAUGACCGCCCACACAUACAUGUUUUUCGUCCGUGGUCACAGACGGACAGACAAAAUGUCCUGAAAGACGUUCCUCCACUGAAUGAAGGUUUUACACCAUGGAGGGAUGCUGUAGAACUGAUCAGGAGGCAAUGGUAUUUAAACGGUCAUGAAAUGCUUCAAGUACUGCAAGAUUUAUUAGGUUUAAGGAUGGGAACAGUUAGAGGGGAUUAUACCGGCUCAAACGCCGGGGGUGUAGCACAUGCACCAGGAAGCACCGACCUAAUCAAUGACCUAACAAAUUUAUAUGAGAGAAUUAGAGUACGGUUGGCCCCGAGGGCUGACUAUGGCAAAAUAGGGGAGGUAAAGCAAAAAGAAGCCGAAACAGCUUCUGAUUUUCUGGACCGGCUGCGCCCGGUUUUUAGACAGCAUUCAGGCCUAGAUUAUGAAGAAGCCCCAGAGAGACCAUACCAACAGCAACUAAAGAACGCAUUCUUAAACGGUCUCCUUCCCCCAGUUAGAGCCCACGUUGAAAAACACUGGGUAACAAUGAACACUGGUAACCUAGCAGACGCUCUGCAGUAUGCAGAACAUGCAACCCGAGUGGUAAAAAAGAAAGAGAAAGGAGGUGUUUUCACUGUGGAUCCCGAGACAGGAUUCAUAGCAUUUGCUGGUGGAUACAGAGGACAGAGACAAGGACAGCAGAGGGGAAAGGGAAAGACAAGUUAUAAAGGUUAUAAGGGAGACAAGGGACGAAGGGGUGAGAGAGACAAUCGCUGUUAUAUUUGUGGAAAAGAAGGUCAUUUUGCAAGGGACUGUAGGUACAAAAAGGAGGAUGACUCAGGAGAGGGUCAGAGUAAGUGA